This 88-nucleotide transfer RNA is filed under the name Terfezia boudieri ATCC MYA-4762. It matches the Rfam family "tRNA". Rfam says of the family: Transfer RNA (tRNA) molecules are approximately 80 nucleotides in length. Lineage: Eukaryota; Fungi; Ascomycota; Pezizomycetes; Pezizales; Pezizaceae. The record is from Rfam by way of RNAcentral.
CCCUUUGUGGUGUAGUUGGUAUCACACUCGGCUGUAAUGGAUGUUUCAGAUUACCGAUUGGUCACCGGUUCGACUCCGGUCGAAGGGA